RNAcentral lists this long non-coding RNA (1268 nucleotides) under Panax ginseng (ginseng). Its description in RNAcentral is "long non-coding RNA (PGIN_LNC001537)". Lineage: Eukaryota; Viridiplantae; Streptophyta; Magnoliopsida; Apiales; Araliaceae. The record is from RNAcentral.
GUCCAGCAACAAUUCAUUUAUCUCUUUCUCUCUCUUCUAUCUAUAUUAAAAAAUAUACACCAAAAAUUAAAAAACUUAGCAAAUGUUUUUCUAAAGCUUUUUCUCUCUCCUCGCUAUCAAUCUCUGAACAGUCUAGAUUUGCGCUCUCUCUCUCUCUCUCUCUGCAUCCAAAUUGAGGUUUUUGUUUAGCUUGGAGUCUUAUUUUCUGGCGAAGGUUGUAAUUUUGAGGCGGCAAUCUCUAGAACAGUCGAGAUUUUCUCUCUCUCUCUCUCUCUCUGCAUCCAAAUUGGGGUUUUUGUUUAGCUUGGAGUCUUCAUUUUCUGGCGAAGGUUGUAAUUUUGAGGCGGAUUCUUGAUUUAGGGUGAGUUAUUCAGCAAGACCGAUAUAGAAAUGAUAAUUUUUAGCUAAUCUUAUAGAGUUUGUUUGUGUAGCUUAUUUUUUUGAUUAUUGCUAAGAAAGUAUUAGAAAGUUUAAAAGAUUGAAUUUUAAAUGGUGGAUUUUCAAUAUUUUGCAAUACAAUUAGCUUUAAAUUUUAGUGUUGCUUGAUUUAGUAAUUUGGAUUGGGUAGGCUGAGAUUUAGAUUUCACCUUUUCCUUAGUAGCCAAAAAGGGUUCAAUCAUUCUUCCAUUUGUAUGUGUGAGAGAUUUUUGGAUUAAUAUAGUUUGAAGAGAAUUUAUAUAUUGACUUCUAAUUAUUUGUUUUAUUCCUUGAUGGCAUGAACGAAGACGACAGAAGGAUUUGUGUUUUAAGUAUGACAUCAGAUGGGAAAAUUGCAUUUGCCUUGGAUGAUGGGUAGAAGAAAUUGAAGGAAUGUCGUGCCGGAAUCGUUUUUAGUAUUUCUUUGACGGAAUAAUAGAUUUGCAGUUCUUUAGCUAGUUUUUUUGGACUGAGUUAGAGCUUGCUUUAGAUCUACUGUGGUGAAGGUUUUCUGAAGAUUUUAAGUUAAUGUUUGUUUUGUCUAAAUUUUUGUUGGAUUAUUUUACCCUCUAUUAUAUCAGAUUUAUUUAAUUCAUAAUUAAAAAAUUAUUUUUUUAGUCACACCAGCUUACGGCCUCACACAAGUAGUCACGUCAGUAAUUUCUGACGUGGCAGGUUUAAUUUGUUGUAAUUGAAAAAAAUUAAUAAUUUAAUAUAAAAUUAAAAGAUGAAUCACCGAAGUAAAAUAUGACCUAUAAUUUAGGAUAUUAAUUCAUAUUUAAACCUUGUAUAUACAAACAAAUUUCUCAUAAAAUAUAAUGAAGGUUACAGAACACAGCAUAGAAAUAGUG